GACGAACGCUGGCGGCGUGCUUAACACAUGCAAGUCGAACGGAAAGGCCCUGCUUUUGUGGGGUGCUCGAGUGGCGAACGGGUGAGUAACACGUGAGUAACCUGCCCUUGACUUUGGGAUAACUUCAGGAAACUGGGGCUAAUACCGGAUAGGAUCUCCUGCUGCAUUGUGGGGGUUGGAAAGUUUCGGCGGUUGGGGAUGGACUCGCGGCUUAUCAGCUUGUUGGUGGGGUAGUGGCUUACCAAGGCUUUGACGGGUAGCCGGCCUGAGAGGGUGACCGGCCACAUUGGGACUGAGAUACGGCCCAGACUCCUACGGGAGGCAGCAGUGGGGAAUAUUGCACAGUGAGCGGAAGCCUGAUGCAGCAACGCCGCGUGCGGGAUGACGGCCUUCGGGUUGUGAACAGCUUUCGCCUGUGACGAAGCGUGAGUGACGGUAAUGAGUAAAGAAGCACCGGCUAACUACGUG
Molecule: ribosomal RNA, 468 nt
Filed under: uncultured bacterium
Lineage: Bacteria
Description: partial 16S ribosomal RNA
Rfam family: Bacterial small subunit ribosomal RNA
Source: RNAcentral